CAGUUCGGUCCCUAUCCGGCGCGGGCGUAGGAUAUCUGAGAGGAGCUGUCCUUAGUACGAGAGGACCGGGAUGGACGGACCGCUGGUGUAUCUGCUGCGAAGGCAAUCGCAUAAGGCAGGGUAGCCAAGUCUGGCAGGGAUAAACGCUGAAGGCAUCUAAGCGUGAAGCCCCCCUCAAGAUGAGAUAUCCCCACGCAAGUGGUAAGACCCCUUGGAGAGUACGAGGUUGAUAGGCACAAGGUGUAAGAGUGGUAACAUUCUCAGCUGAUGUGUACUAAUAGGUCGAGGACUUAACCAA
Molecule: non-coding RNA, 298 nt
Organism: Butyrivibrio fibrisolvens DSM 3071
Lineage: Bacteria; Bacillati; Bacillota; Clostridia; Lachnospirales; Lachnospiraceae
Source: Rfam